GACGAACCGAGCGAACGUUAUUCGGAAUCACUGGGCUUAAAGGGCGCGUAGGCGGGUGGCCAAGUCCGGGGUGAAAGCCCCCAGCUCAACUGGGGAAGUGCCUCGGAUACUGGUCGUCUCGAGGGAGAUAGGGGCGUGCGGAACUUCCGGUGGAGCGGUGGAAUGCGUAGAGAUCGGGAAGAACAUCGGUGGCGAAGGCGGCCUGCUGGGCUGUUGCUGACGCUGAGGCGCGACAGCGUGGGGAGCAAACAGGAUU
Molecule: ribosomal RNA, 256 nt
Filed under: uncultured bacterium
Lineage: Bacteria
Description: partial 16S ribosomal RNA
Rfam family: Bacterial small subunit ribosomal RNA
Source: RNAcentral